This 467-nucleotide ribosomal RNA is filed under the name uncultured bacterium. RNAcentral describes it as "partial 16S ribosomal RNA". It matches the Rfam family "Bacterial small subunit ribosomal RNA", at positions 28 to 506 of the family's 1533-position model. The record is from RNAcentral.
GACGAACGCUGGCGGCGUGCUUAACACAUGCAAGUCGAACGGAAAGGCCCUGCUUGCAGGGUGCUCGAGUGGCGAACGGGUGAGUAACACGUGGGUGAUCUGCCCCUUACUUUGGGAUAAGCCUGGGAAACUGGGUCUAAUACUGGAUAGGACCAUGCUGUAGGUGGUGUGGUGGAAAGAUUAGUUUCGGUAAGGGAUGAGCUCGCGGCCUAUCAGCUUGUUGGUGGGGUAAUGGCCUACCAAGGCGUCGACGGGUAGCCGGCCUGAGAGGGUGGACGGCCACAUUGGGACUGAGAUACGGCCCAGACUCCUACGGGAGGCAGCAGUGGGGAAUACUGCACAAUGGGCGCAAGCCUGAUGCAGCGACGCCGCGUGGGGGAUGACGGCCUUCGGGUUGUAAACUCCUUUCAGCCAUGACGAAGCCUUCGGGGGACGGUAGUGGUAGAAGAAACACCGGCUAACUACGU